CCUACGGGCGGCAGCAGUGAGGAAUAUUGGUCAAUGGGCGCGAGCCUGAACCAGCCAAGUCGCGUGAGGGAAGACGGUCCUAUGGAUUGUAAACCUCUUUUGUCGGGGAGCAAAAGACGCCACGCGUGGCGUUCCGAGAGUACCCGAAGAAAAAGCAUCGGCUAACUCCGUGCCAGCAGCCGCGGUAAUACGGAGGAUGCGAGCGUUAUCCGGAUUUAUUGGGUUUAAAGGGUGCGCAGGCGGAAGAUCAAGGAAGCGGUAAAAUUGAGAGGCUCAACCUCGUCGAGCCGUUGAAACUGGUUGUCUUGAGUGAGCGAGAAGUAUGCGGAAUGCGUGGUGUAGCGGUGAAAUGCAUAGAUAUCACGCAGAACUCCGAUUGCGAAGGCAGCAUACCGGCGCUCAACUGACGCUCAUGCACGAAAGUGUGGGUAUCGAACAGGAUUAGAUACCCCUGUAGUC
This 459-nucleotide ribosomal RNA is filed under the name uncultured bacterium. Its description in RNAcentral is "partial 16S ribosomal RNA". It matches the Rfam family "Bacterial small subunit ribosomal RNA", at positions 338 to 795 of the family's 1533-position model. The record is from RNAcentral.